CGGCGCGUGCGCACAGGACGGGACGGGAGGGCGGAGCGACUGCGCAGAUCAGGAAAAUUGUCACCUCUGGCCUCAGGGAAACUGAGGCUCUGAGCAGUUAAGAGGCCAACGAUCCAGGUUUAUGCUAUCAGUGUCUGAGAUACAAUUAAGUCACCUUUUUGGGUGACAUUUCCCUUGACUAGUACCUCAAGAUUAUGAUCCAGGUGGACCAUCCCUCCAUUGCCUCCAGACAUGUCUAUGACGCUACCUAGGGAUUGUGAAGAUUUACCACCUGGUGGAAAAUUAAAAAAAAAGACUUAUUCUGCAAAUUGACCAAGCUUAAGAGAUACAGCACUGAGAAUUCACCCACUACAGAGCUGGUAACCAGGCCUUCAGAGUAAGCUGUGAUGUAUAGCCAUUCUCCUCAGCAGCCUGUUUGACUGAGGGAUAUAGGAAUGACUGCCCUUACCCAUGUUUUUGUUCAGAUUUAUGGUUCUAAAUCUGAUGGAAAAUCUAUCAUUGGACCAUUUGAUUCUUCCUAAAGAAAGGCCAAACCACCUGUCAAACCCACGAGCAACACAGCAAUGGCUAAGCUGAAGAAGCCAAGUUAUAUGUCUAGCUCCUCUGUGGGUGGCAGGAUCCAGCUGUGGGGAGUCCAAGGUUCCUUGUGUUCUUCUGGCUUGACUAUGAUAUUUCCAAUUUGGAGGCACAAAGAAUUGAGAACUUGGGGAUCCACUGAGGUCUGAGGCAUGGUGGUACCAGAAGAAAUAAAGGGGCCAUCAGCAUGAAGCUGGUCUCCCAUUGACAGCACCCUGACUUCUCCAUCAGGUUCUAUCAGCAUGUCUACUGUGAGGUUGGUGACGCUGUCUGCAGGUGGGUAUGCUUCAAUCACGCCACCUGGUCAGGAAACCAUGGAGUAGAGGAAAAGACACAGUCAAGGGAAUGCUAUGCUUAUAGCAGGAGGAAAUGCUCUGUGUUUUAGCAAGGGAACUUAGACUAUCUCACACCUGUCAUAUCCUGGGAAACUUUGGGUGAGUAGUUCAACCUUUGGCCUCCUUUUCCUUAUUUAUAGAAUGGAGGCAUAAUAUCUACCUUGCCAAGCUUUUGUGAAGUUUGAGAAACUGAGUCUAUGGUAUUUAGCCUGGUACUUGGAACAUGGGAGGGCUCAAUGAACAGUAAGUAGUCUUUAUUAUGAUCAUAAUUACAAAUAUUACAAAUACUUUAUAAAAGCCAUACUUAGAACAACUCAUUACGUUAAUAAAGAAUCCAAGGAUUGUGGUC
Molecule: long non-coding RNA, 1260 nt
Filed under: Mus musculus (house mouse)
Lineage: Eukaryota; Metazoa; Chordata; Mammalia; Rodentia; Muridae
Description: partial lnc-Smad3
Source: RNAcentral